CAGCAGCCGCGGUAAUACGGAGGGUGCAAGCGUUAAUCGGAAUUACUGGGCGUAAAGCGCACGCAGGCGGUCUGACAAGUCAGAUGUGAAAUCCCCGGGCUUAACCUGGGAACUGCAUUUGAAACUGUCAGGCUGGAGUCUUGUAGAGGGGGGUAGAAUUCCAGGUGUAGCGGUGAAAUGCGUAGAGAUCUGGAGGAAUACCGGUGGCGAAGGCGGCCCCCUGGACAAAGACUGACGCUCAGGUGCGAAAGCGUGGGGAGCAAACAGGAUUAGAGACCCCGGUAGUCCCUGUCUCUUAUAA
RNAcentral lists this ribosomal RNA (301 nucleotides) under uncultured bacterium. RNAcentral describes it as "partial 16S ribosomal RNA". It matches the Rfam family "Bacterial small subunit ribosomal RNA", at positions 509 to 809 of the family's 1533-position model. The record is from RNAcentral.